This 460-nucleotide ribosomal RNA is filed under the name uncultured bacterium. Its description in RNAcentral is "partial 16S ribosomal RNA". It matches the Rfam family "Bacterial small subunit ribosomal RNA", at positions 338 to 795 of the family's 1533-position model. The record is from RNAcentral.
CCUACGGGGAGCAGCAGUGAGGAAUAUUGGUCAAUGGACGCAAGUCUGAACCAGCCAUGCCGCGUGCAGGAAGACGGCUCUAUGAGUUGUAAACUGCUUUUGUACGAGGGUAAACCCAGAUACGCGUAUCUGGUUGAAAGUAUCGUACGAGUAAGGAUCGGCUAACUCCGUGCCAUCAGCCGCGGUAAUACGGAGGAUCCGAGCGUUAUCCGGAUUUAUUGGGUUUAAAGGGUGCGUAGGCGGUUUGAUAAGUUAGAGGUGAAAUGUCGGGGCUCAACUCCGGAACUGCCUCUAAUACUGUUGGACUAGAGAAUAGUUGCGGUAGGCGGAAUGUAUGGUGUAGCGGUGAAAUGCUUAGAGAUCAUACAGAACACCGAUUGCGAAGGUAGCUUACCAAGCUAUAUCUGACGUUGAGGCACGAAAGCGUGGGUAGCAAACAGGAUUAGAUACCCCUGUAGUC